CGGCCCUGCGCACGGGGGGGAUACAGAGUCACAGGGCAGCCCUAUGCCUCUCUGCCACCCUCGUGCCCUGCCCUGCGGCUCCAUGCGGCACCGGGGCUUGGCCCAUGGCAUCCACACCCCCCGCGCAGCCCCGGGACACGAGAACACAAGCACUGCGAUUGACUGGGUCAGACCCUAGCCUCCAGCAUUUAAAGUCUAGGAAGUUUCCUACAAGAACGUGUCCAAUGCCUCGGUGAAUCUGGCUAAAGUCUCAGCUUCCCCCAGACCCGGUGGCCCCGAGUUCAUGCUUUAAUCUCACACUGGGUGAGAAAAGACUUCCUGGUGCUCAACUGACUGCCUCCUAGUUUCAUGCGGUGAGCCCUGGUUCUUGUCUGGUGAGACACAGGCAAUAAUAAAUCCCUAUCGACUUUCUCGUGGCCAAUAA
Molecule: long non-coding RNA, 424 nt
Organism: Alligator mississippiensis (American alligator)
Lineage: Eukaryota; Metazoa; Chordata; Crocodylia; Alligatoridae
Exons: 2
Source: RefSeq, a predicted model, not a curated record